RNAcentral lists this ribosomal RNA (502 nucleotides) under uncultured bacterium. RNAcentral describes it as "bacterial SSU rRNA". It matches the Rfam family "Bacterial small subunit ribosomal RNA", at positions 1029 to 1529 of the family's 1533-position model. The record is from RNAcentral.
GUUACACAGGUGCUGCAUGGCCGUCGUCAGCUCGUGUCGUGAGAUGUUUGGUUAAGUCCAGCAACGAGCGCAACCCCUGUUGCCAGUUACCAGCACGUGAAGGUGGGGACUCUGGCGAGACUGCCCAGAUCAACUGGGAGGAAGGUGGGGACGACGUCAGGUCAGUAUGGCCCUUAUGCCCAGGGCUGCACACGUACUACAAUGCCCAGUACAGAGGGGGCCGAAGCCGCGAGGCGGAGGAAAUCCUAAAAACUGGGCCCAGUUCGGACUGUAGGCUGCAACCCGCCUACACGAAGCCGGAAUCGCUAGUAAUGGCGCAUCAGCUACGGCGCCGUGAAUACGUUCCCGGGUCUUGUACACACCGCCCGUCACAUCAUGGAAGCCGGUCGCACCCGAAGUAUCUGAAGCCAACCGCAAGGAGGCAGGGUCCUAAGGUGAGACUGGUAACUGGGAUGAAGUCGUAACAAGGUAGCCGUAGGGGAACCUGCGGUUGGAUCACCUC